UGGGGAAUAUUGGACAAUGGACCAAGAGUCUGAUCCAGCAAUUCUGUGUGCACGAUGAAGUUUUUCGGAAUGUAAAGUGCUUUCAGUUGGGAAGAAAUAAAUGACGGUACCAACAGAAGAAGUGACGGCUAAAUACGUGCCAGCAGCCGCGGUAAUACGUAUGUCACGAGCGUUAUCCGGAUUUAUUGGGCGUAAAGCGCGUCUAGGUGGUUAUGUAAGUCUGAUGUGAAAAUGCAGGGCUCAACUCUGUAUUGCGUUGGAAACUGUGUAACUAGAGUACUGGAGAGGUAAGCGGAACUACAAGUGUAGAGGUGAAAUUCGUAGAUAUUUGUAGGAAUGCCGAUGGGGAAGCCAGCUUACUGGACAGAUACUGACGCUAAAGCGCGAAAGCGUGGGUAGCAAACAGGAUUAGAUACCCUGGUAGUCCACGCUGUAAACGAUGAUUACUAGGUGUUGGGGGUCGAACCUCAGCGCCCAAGCAAACGCGAUAAGUAAUCCGCCUGGGGAGUACGUACGCAAGUAUG
Molecule: ribosomal RNA, 524 nt
Filed under: uncultured bacterium
Lineage: Bacteria
Description: bacterial SSU rRNA
Rfam family: Bacterial small subunit ribosomal RNA
Source: RNAcentral